GACGAACGCUGGCGGCGUGCUUAACACAUGCAAGUCGAACGGAAAGGCCCUGCUUGCAGGGUACUCGAGUGGCGAACGGGUGAGUAACACGUGGGUGAUCUGCCCUGCACUUCGGGAUAAGCUUGGGAAACUGGGUCUAAUACCGGAUAGGAACCAUCUUUAGUGUGGUGGUUGGAAAGUUUUUUCGGUGUAGGAUGAGCUCGCGGCCUAUCAGCUUGUUGGUGGGGUAAUGGCCUACCAAGGCGGCGACGGGUAGCCGGCCUGAGAGGGUGUACGGCCACAUUGGGACUGAGAUACGGCCCAGACUCCUACGGGAGGCAGCAGUGGGGAAUAUUGCACAAUGGGCGCAAGCCUGAUGCAGCGACGCCGCGUGGGGGAUGAAGGCCUUCGGGUUGUAAACUCCUGUCGCUAGGGACGAAGCUUUUUUGUGACGGUACCUAGAGAAGAAGCACCGGCUAACUACGUG
This 466-nucleotide ribosomal RNA is filed under the name uncultured bacterium. Its description in RNAcentral is "partial 16S ribosomal RNA". It matches the Rfam family "Bacterial small subunit ribosomal RNA", at positions 28 to 507 of the family's 1533-position model. The record is from RNAcentral.